AUGAAAUUAAUAGCCUGGAAUUGCAGAGGCAAAGGUAAGGGCCUGGGUAGUCAAAAGAUGGUGUACCUUGACAAUUUGAUGAGAUCGACGAACGCCCAGGUAACCUUUGUGUCAGAAAUCAAAUCCUCUAAAGUUAAUGCCAAUGAUUUAGUCAAUCGAUUCGAUAUUGUUCAUGCUGAAGUAGUGCCAUCAAGGGGGAAAUCAGGUGGUCUUUGGUUAAUGUGGACAGACGAAGUUCGGGUAAAUGUCCAUAUAGCAAAUUUUCAUGUGAUCUUAGCCUCUGUUGUUAAUAUAGCUUCCAAUGUUGAUUUUCCGUUAAUCUGUAUUUAUGGGGAUCCUCAUCACCACUAUACUAAUCAGAUUUGGAAUUGUAUUACCUCUUUUGUGUAUGAUAAUCAAAGCAAGCCUAUCUUAUGCAUGGGAGAUCUUAAUGAUAUUCUCUAUGAUGAGGACAAGAGUUCUCCCUAUGUUAAUAAAUACCGUAUGCAUGCUUUUCAUGCUUUAGUCAAACAAUAUGGCUUCAUUGAUCUAGGAUACAGUGGCCCUGCUUAUACUUGGACUAAUAAGUGA
RNAcentral lists this ribosomal RNA (570 nucleotides) under Triticum aestivum (bread wheat). Its description in RNAcentral is "partial small subunit ribosomal RNA". Lineage: Eukaryota; Viridiplantae; Streptophyta; Magnoliopsida; Poales; Poaceae. The record is from RNAcentral.